GUGCUUGCCUUGGCAGCACAGAUACCAAAACUGGGACUAUACAGAGAAGAUUAGCACAGCUCCUGCACAAGAUGACACACAGAUUCAUGAAGUGCUCCAUAUUUAA
Sciurus vulgaris (Eurasian red squirrel) is the source of this 106-nucleotide small nuclear RNA. The record is from Ensembl. Lineage: Eukaryota; Metazoa; Chordata; Mammalia; Rodentia; Sciuridae.